GAACAAUCUCUUCAUUUUGAAUCAAUGAAGAGAUGAUUUGAGAUCAUUGUUCAUUCCCUUUUCUAAAUUAUUCAUAGUCUGAGUUAAACUAGAGGCAAAAUAGAAGCAUCGUUAUGAAGCUUAAGUAACUUCACUUCUACAUUAUUUUAAAGGAGCUGCAUAAGCAUGUGGUUUUAUCGUGAUAACAAUCUACAAGGCAAACACAUGAUUUAACGUCUCUAUGCUUUGCAAAGCUAAUAUAAUUUAUUUUGUAUUAAUUGAAGGAGUGAUAGGGAAAGUUGAGAUAGGAUCUUCCUAUGUUCUCUGGGCUGACCUGAACUCAUAAUUCCCUAGCCUCAACCUCUCAAUUUCUGAGAUUGUAAACAAUAAAUGUUAUUUAGUAAAACAUAAAGGCAGGGACAUCAUGAGAUUGCAGUGAGUCUUGGCUGCAUAGUGAGAUCUAUUUCCAAAAUCUUGAAGCUCCUGAUAGUCAAGAAUGAUGGCUUUGGUGGUUUAAAGAAGAAAUGUCCUUGAUAAUCAGAGGUAUCAGUGGGCCUUGGUGGGUGACACUGUUUGAAAGGAGGAAUUGAGGAGUCUUUAGUGGGGUGGAGCCCUGCUGGAGGACAUGUACCACUGUGUAAGGAAUGGAUUAUGAGGCUCUACUCUGUAUGGGUGGUACUCAUAACUCAUCAAAAGGUAAGCAGUAGGCUACCAGGGUCCUCUUCAGGCAGUCUGCUACAUGACAGAGCUCACAAUCAGGAAGAGAGGCUGUCUCAAACCUAACAAUAUUCAUUACAUCAGGCUUUGAGGACCGAGAAUUUGAAAAGGUGCUAUGCUAGAAAAACAUCAAGAUGGUGAAUCUCUAAAGCAGUUGUGCUGAGGAUAAUAUGGAAGAUGGAGGCCUGGCACUAGAGGCUUUGGAGGGGAACAAUAUUAGUAACUGAGCUAAAGGCCACUUAUGUGAUAUUUUGGCAAAUAAAUAGGCUAUUUCGUAGGAAAAAAUAAGGUGCCCCAGGGCAGGACUCCUCCCAGCUAAACUUCCAACUUGUAGAAUGAAAAAGCCCAAGGGGUCACCUGCUCCUCCUAGAAGGCAAUUGCUUCAACACACAGAUGCUGCUGCUAACAUGGUGGAAAGUAGCUGAACUUGGCAGUGCCAUCCACAUGGCACUGGCUUUAGUGACAUGAAAGAUAGAAGAGUGAAAGGGUUAUGGGUUCUCCUCUCUGGUUUCAGACAGCCAUUGAGGGCAGGAAGCAAGUGGCAGAAGAGUUUCUGAAUGAAAUCCUGGAGAGGGCAGGAGAUCCAGAGAGGCCCUUGUGUCAAGCUGUGAUGGUAGAGUCUAUGUGGCAGUGUAGAUUCCAAGCUGUUGGAGAUUCCUGAGCCAUGAUAUAUCUACUAAGGAAUGUUGCAUACAGGGAACAGCUCUAGUCCAGGAGAAAGAUGUGUGUUUUAGGCACGUAGAACCAUCUAAGCCCUGUGAAAAUGUAGUCCAUGAGCUGUAGUACUACAGCUGCAGGAUUUGAUGCUUUCAUCUGACACAUCUGACAUUUUCUCACUAUGCUCCUCUCUCUCUCUCUCUCUCUCUCUCUCUCUCUCUCUCUCUCUCUCUCUCUCUGGUUUUUUGAGACAGGGUUUCUCUGUUUUGGCUGUCCUGGUACUCACUCUGUAGACCAGGCUGGCCUCGAACUCAGAAAUCUGCCUACCUCUGCCUCCCAAGUGCUGGGAUUAAAGGCGUGCGCCACCACUACCCAGCUUUUGUCCUCUUUUUAAGUCUUUCCAUGUAAAAGAAAAUAUUGUAAAAAGACGAUAGGUACUUUUAAAGAUUGAUGUAGUGUGAAGUGGAAACUUCACAUUUCUUUGGAAAGUUAGUUAUGUCAAUGAUGUUUUGCUAGGGCACACAGGUGAAAGGAUGUCUUGCUAAAGCAAACACAUGAAAGACUGUUUUCCUGAAGUGGACACAGGUGAAAGGAUGUUUGGAUAUAGCAAACACGUGAAAGGAUACUUGAUGAAGGAGUAUAACUAUGACCCCACAGAUAGUGGGAAACAAGCACUGAGUAUUGGUUUGGUUUGCUCUGCCUUGCUAUUCUUAGCUAAGACACACAUGCACUGGUUCACCUUACAUAGCAUUGUUGAGCUCAACUUGUGGUAGUGUCAUCAUUGAGAGAAACUUGCCCAAGAACUGCUCAUGGGGUUUAUGAGGUUCCUGUGGUAGCUGCCACUUCUGCUGCCUUGCCUUAGGCCAGGGGGUGAGCCUGGCGGUUUCUUCAGGGUUGAACUACAGCUGCCUGGUGUCUGCUUGCUGAAAGGACUGGACUAUAGCUGCUGGUUCCUGCCUGGUUCCUGCCUGCCUAAAGCACUGGUCUGCAGCUCCUGAGUCAUCUUUGGUGUUUGCUAUGGGACUGAACUUCUGCCAAAGAAGAUCAAGCUCACCCCCAAAGAACCAUUGCUGAACAGGUCCACUUCCCCCACAUCCUAAUAACUUUUCUCUUCCACCACCUCUGCUGGGUGAUGGGAUAGAGGAGAUACUGAAUCCUUAUUAAAAUCAGGUUGCAAAAAAAUGUCUGCCUACAGAAGUGCAUUUUGCAUUAUGAUAUAGCCACGCACCUGUGGAAGCCAAGGAGUAGAAUGCAGUGUUUUAAAUGAAAAAAUAUCAUCAAUAGGCUCCAAUAGUUGAAAACUUGGUUCCACCUUGUUGGUGCUGUUAGAGGAGAUAGUGCAGCAUUGCUAGAGAAGUAUGGCACUGAGGGUUCGCUUUGAGAUUUUAUAGCCUUGUAGAGAUGAUGGCUCAGUGGUUAAGAGCACUGAAUGCUCUUACAGAGAACCCAGGUUCAAGGACCACUUAUAGCCUAGGAAAACCUGAUGCCCUCUUCUGGCCUCUGUGAGCACUGAAGACACAUGGUACAGUCAAAGUACCAAUUCAGAGAGAGAGAGAGAGAGAGAGAGAGAGAGAGAAUAUGCUUUCUUCAUUUUGUGCUUAUGGUUAACAACUUGUUCUCAGCUUCCUGCUUUGACUGCCUACUGCCUGUUCUCAUGCCUCCCAAUUCUCUGUGAAGCCAUAAUACAAAAUAGACUCUUUUAUAGUUUGAUUUUGUCCAUGGUGUUUAUCAUAAUAACAAAAGACUAGCUAAUCAGCAGUAUACUCUCAUGAUUUCAACAUUCUGGAGGCUGAGUCCUUCACGUGAUGAGUAGAUGAUGUAGUAUGAAUAUAUAAUGGAGCUCAAUUCAGCUGUAAAGAAAAAUAAAAAUGUAUUUUCAGGAAAAUAGAUGAACCUGAAGAUAGCCUGAGUGUACAGCCCAGUCCCAGAAAGACAAAUUGUCUAGGUCCUUUAGUCAUUACAGGUUAUAAUGGAAUGCCCAAAAUGAUAUAGCUCCUUUUGAUGAUGUAUUGUGAGGGCUAAAGUUAUGUUGUAAGUUUAAAUUGUUGUUCUUAGGAGAUAUAAAAAAAAAUGCCUUUAACCUGUAAGUCCCACUUGCCCAAGGGCAGAUAACUUUCUGGAAUCCAAGGUGUGUGGAGGGGAGUGGUGUUCAUGAAAAAUAACAAGUUUUCACUUCUGUAAGUAAGGUUGGUUGCCCCCACUACAUGUGCUUGAUCAUAUGUGGGUGGGAGGUACACAGGCAGGAACUAUGUCAGGAUGUAUGUUUGCCCCUGAUUGGAUGAAGGCGGGAGAAACAAAGCCUUGUGAGAUUUGCCUUUAUAAGCACCAGACUGUUGUAAUUCACAACCAUUCUCCGGGAAUCCUGGGUCUGGGUCUGGGUAUGUGCAUCACCCUUACUAGUAUUUGUCAAUAUUUAAUAAAUUUUGCUUCAAAUUUGGUUUAAAAUUGUGGUUCUGAUGUUAUUCUCAUGGAAUUAACAGUACAUGUUGGGGUCAGGAUUAUCCAGAGUGCAUCUCUUUACAUCAAUGCUUUGCGUUAUAAAUCUGUUUUCCAACCCUUCACUCACAAUUUCUUGGGCCAAUGGCUUUCUUUAAUGCUGAUCAGGGAAUCUACUUCUUCAUAUAAAAUAUUAUAUAUACUGCAGCAAAGUAGAAAUAGUAGACAUAAAAAGUGAAAAGAGCCACUCACUCCAGUAUCUUGAUGAAGUCUCAAUCUGAGAGUAAAGAAUUUCAAGACAAUUAUUAAAAUUUGCUGUGAAGGUUGCCUAAACAGAGAUAGUAUUUCUUUUAUAUAGACACUUCAAAUAAGGAUGUUAAAAUAGCAAGAAACCACACUUAAGACCCAAGUGUGUUUUGGGCGAGGUGACAUUCCUUAGAAACCCUACAAACAAUGCAAUUUCAAAGCCUAAAAAGUCCUACCUACAACUAUCACUAAGACCCUUAAAUGUAAGUCUCUUGAAAAGCCCACAUUUGUGCUUGGGUUGUAUGCAAUCUUUUCCCUGGGUGCCUUUCUAGUGAUCAUCAAGUUUAAAUCUAUGCUAAAACCUUCAUCAUGAACUCUAGGCUUCAUGCUGGUUUGUCCUGACAUUCUUUUUCUGCAACACAGUCAGGAAACCUAUGCAUAGCUCAUGUUUCUCUUAAUCCCACUGGUUGAAAAUAAGACCACUUCCACAAUUUAAAGCCUAAUUUGAAGCAAACACUAAUUAAAUACUGGCCAGGUUGAUGGACUCUCUAGCCAGGUCCAUCUCUGGGUUUCCAGAAAAUGUCCCCAAGACAUGGUUUGCAGGGACUUAGAAAGGUUAAAUCCACAAUUCACCCAGAUCUCUUCAGGUCCAAUCAGGAGCAAGCGUACAUCCUUCCAUAUUUCCUGUGUGUGUACUUCCCACUUACAUUCAAUCAGUGGCCAGCACACUUCCUGCCCAUGUGGAAUGAAGCAUGUCUAGUGUAACCAAACUUGUUUAGAAGAGUGAAACUAUGUGGCUUAUUAUCUCUCGUAAGCAACAGCCGCCAGCAUCUCAGGAAGCGUCCUUCCUUGGACAGGGGCUUACAGGUCAGAAGCAUCUUUAUUUCUUUGACCUCUUGGCACAGUAACUAAAACUAAAACAUAAUUUGGAUCUUACAUUUCCUCUUUCUUUAUUGGGAGUUUAUAUAAAUGAUGUAAACCUUUUGACCAGAUUUCCAGAAUGUUCUGAAACAUGAUCUUUCACACAGCAGUUUCAUAGCCUUGCAUCCCUCUAAGGGAUCUCUUGCAAUAAAAUCUGUUAUCAUCGAUGUCCCAGAGGAGUUAUGCUUUAUUUAAUUAAAAAUCAGAAAUGAACUAUUGAUCAAACAAAACAAAAUGAAAUAUUACUUAAGGGCCUGAAAAAUAUCAUUUUAUUUCUAGGAACGAACGAUUGUUCUUUUUGUUCAAACACUAAGUGUAUUAAAUAUAGAAAGUAGACUCAGCAAGCGUAUCACAUGAACAAACUAAUAACGGACUAGAUAGGAAAACAUUAGUUCAGAAAGAGCUCCCAGCACUGCUUCUCCCACUCAAAGCACUUAGAAGAGUUAACAGUAUUUCAUCUUAAUCCUCGUGUAGUGGUACAAGGUUGUGAUCACAGCUUGGAAAAGAGGCAGGAGGAUUGCACUUUAAAGACAACCAAAAGACCAUGUCUCAAUACCAACUUAAAAAAAAUUCAGUCUUGCUGUUUUCUAAAAUGUAGAACAAAAAAUUUUCUUAUGUUGUAAAGGUCAAACGAGAUGAACAAACUGAAUUCUGGCUUUGUGCAAUACUCGCACUCUGCCCAGAACGACCCAGGCUUCUUGAUUAAGGGUGUGAAACACAAGCUACUCUCAGUGUUGAGAUCCUGGGCCAGCCUUCUACAUCCUUUAGGUUUCCCAGAGGAGAACUCUUUCUUCCCUAGCCUGAGGCCUCUUUAAUGUAGUGAAUUCCAUAGGAGAGCUAGAUGACGCUUGCCCACGUGGACAAGCCGCCAGCUGAUUUAUUAAAGACAACCAUCCAAAGUCAGAGAAAGAAAUCCCACUCACACCCAGGAACUGUCAAGUGGGAAGUUUGACUUAACCAUUCUUAUUAAGAAUGUACUAGUGUUUGCUUCCUCGUUUGCAAUAUCAUGGCGGAGCUGCUUGCAAGCACCCAUAGCUCAACCUCUAACCACUCUUUACUUCACAUGGGUCUGCUUUUCACUUAUUUGCAGAAUGGAAGGCAUAUUCUUACCGAGAAACCCCAAGUGAGGGUGUAUGCACGGUCAACCUUCAAUUCACUCAGAGCCCAGCCAGUUUGCACUGCAGCCAUAUUCUUGGCCCUAUUUGCUUUUUCAUUUCAAGAAUGUGCAUAAUGUUCACUCCUGCUUUAUGUUACCUGUUUCUGCACAAGGUUUGGAUGACCCAAUCCAUUCUCCUUGGUUUACUAACCUCACAUACCACCUUUGGGUGCUGACUUUGGGAUCUUUCCUUCCUAAGCUACAACACUCCCUCCAGCAGAUCUCCACGGCUUAGCUGUCCUGAGGAGAACACAGUCUCCCACAGUACACUCUAUAAACCUGAUUGUGCUGCUGCUGCUGCGUGUGCUGUCAUUCAACCCUGCAGCAAAGAUAAAUUGGUUUUGGACCACAUUUGAACUCUCACCUCCAAGAUUGGGUUCCUGGCUGUCAGUGGUUUCAAUGUCCUAUCCUCCUAAGAAAGGAAUAAAUCCUACUAACAUGAUACUAAUACUUGCCUGUGAAUACUCCCAUAAUCUCCAAAACCAGGAGUCAUUAUUCACUGGCAUUUGUUAUGUAUUGAAUUCAUUUAUUAGCUUACUCAGGAACUUUCUCACAAUAUUACUUGGCUUGCUCUUUUGACCACUUAUUAAUUCUUCCUUCUGGUGAGUGUCACAUUAAUGUCAUGUCUCUGCCUAGAAUUUGAAAGCCUUGAGAGCAAGAACUCUUGAUGGACUAUGCAGAUAAUUUCACCGUAUUUACUCCAGUGAUUCAGUUUUAGACACUCUAAAAUAUGACUGCUUAUAUUUUAUAUUUUAAACAUAAUAAAACAGCAACACUUAGUGCAUUUUGUCAAGGAAACUUAAACUGAAUUGUUGCUUAUUUCCUUUCAACCAUUUCUAUGAUACUAUAAGUUUUUACAGUUUUCUUUUUCCGUUUAAAGAAAAAAACAUUUCGAGAUGGGAUCUUAUUGUGUUUCCCCAAUCUGCCUGCUUCAGCAUCUCCAGUACUAGGCUCAUGUGAGUGGUCUAUGGUGCCUAAUCCCACAUUAAACUUUUUAAUUAAAAAGCUAACAGACCAAUGUUAAGGGGGUGGUGAUAGCGGGACAGAAGUGAAUAUAGCUGUCAGGGAGUACCUCUAAGUAUCACAAGGCUGAAUAAUUUUUAAAAAUGUAUGUGGUUUUUGUCAAUAGUCCUUGGCACUGAGUUUCAGAAACCUUUGGUCUCAGUGGUGGAAAUUGUUGUUUAUAAUAAAUUGGUCCUUUAAAAAUCAUUAAAAAUGCCUAGCAAUUUUAUUAGAAGACAUGGAGGUCUCUGUUAAAAACGAGGUAACACAGAAUGUGGACACAGCAAGGUGGUUCCUUCAAAGGAAGAAAUACCUGUUACCUGUUACCUGCUCAGAAGGCUGAGAGGGGAGUGCAUUUUAGCCUUUGUCCUAUGUAUGUGCCUAGAGAUCACAUCAGACCCUUCCUCAGACUCUUAUCAUCAGCUUGUUUUUAUCAGUCAGUCUAUAGACCCUGUCUUGGUGGAAGGUGUGAGACCAAAAAAAGACAGAGAACAAUAAACCUUGCAAGUUAAUGGGAGACCAUGGUUCUGUUUGCAGUUAAGACAGGAACGAGUUCUGCCUGUUCUGUGUUUGACCCAUUUGCACUGAGAGUGCUUGAUCACACGCUGGCAGGAGAUACAUGAGCAGGAAAUAUGUCAGGAAAAAUGCUUGCCCCUGACUGGACCUGAUGGAAAAUGAGUUGAGUUGUGGGUUUUGUCUUUUGUAAGCCCAUGCAAGACAUGAGUUGGGGUUAUUUUCUGGGAACCCAGAGAUGGACCUGGCUAGAGAGUCUAUCAAUCUGGCCAGAAUUUAAUCAAACCUUGCUUCAAAUUUGGCCUUAAAUUGUGUUAGUGAUCUUAGUCUCUACCAGUAGGAUUAACAAAGAUAAAACAUAUACUUUACAAAGAAUUUCCAUGUGGUCAUGUCUUAUCUUUAUUUAGCUUACCUUGUUCCUUAAAGAGAUUUAUGACUGCUUUGUUGUGCACAGGGGGUUGAGCUAACACUCACCAGAAAGCUUUUCACUAAAUUGUGCUGUUAUUAAUAUACCUAAAAUAAACUUUUCCUGGCUUCUGUAUCAGCUCCUGCUUCCAGGUGCCUUCCCUGUUUGAUUUCUGAUCCUGGUUUCCUUCAAUGAUGGACGACAAUGUGGUGGUGUAAGCCAAAUAAACGCUUCCCUCUUCAACUUGCAAAAUAGGUCAUGGUGCUUUAUUGCAGCAAUAGAAACCUUAACUAAGAUACCUAGCCAGGGAGUGUUAUAUUUUUUCAUUUUACCCUCCCAUUAAUUCAUGAGUGAUAAGUCUGGUUACUAUUAUACAUUUUUAUAGGUUAGGACUCUGAGGUAAAAGGCUCUCUUGAAGUCAAAGUCCAGCUAUCUAAUUCAUGCAGUCACAGUGUUCUCAAGUGUGAAAAAGGUUUUUUGUAUGUUUGUUUGUUUGAAAGUGAAAGGUAACCGCCUUAGCAGGGAGAAAUCUCAGAGACUCAAUGGGGAAGUAAAAGUAUAUUGAACAGCUCUGUUGCUCAUCUGUCAAUUAUUUUUGUUCUACCCCAUCUUUCUGCCACUACAGUGAGACACUUCUGACCAGUUCUGAGGAGAUCUGUCUCACUUAGACCAGCCACCUCCAAUGUGUAGAAAUACCCGUGGGAAUUGAUCUGUAUCUAUGCAUGCACAUUGCAGAUGUCUGCAGUGGACCCUUGAUUGUCUAGUGAGAGGCAGAAGCCAGCGUUUGAAAAGCACCAAUUGAUAUAUUUCCAGCUAUCUGAUGGUUGGAUCUUUAGGAACAAUCCUGAAUAUCAAUAAUGUUCCACUGGACGAUUUCACACUGAGGAGUGUUUGGGAAGCAUAUAUUGGACUCGACAGCAGCCUGGCAUGGUUGUCUUCUGAGAAGCUCUACCAGCACCUGACUAAGACAGAUGUGGAUGCUCGCAGCCAACCACUGAACUGAG
Mus musculus (house mouse) is the source of this 9037-nucleotide long non-coding RNA. RefSeq annotates it as predicted gene, 46767. Lineage: Eukaryota; Metazoa; Chordata; Mammalia; Rodentia; Muridae. The transcript has 3 exons. The record is from RefSeq and is a predicted model, not a curated record.